RNAcentral lists this signal recognition particle RNA (298 nucleotides) under Piliocolobus tephrosceles (Ugandan red Colobus). RNAcentral's name for it is "Metazoan signal recognition particle RNA (ENSPTEG00000003684.1)". It matches the Rfam family "Metazoan signal recognition particle RNA". Rfam says of the family: The signal recognition particle (SRP) is a universally conserved ribonucleoprotein. Lineage: Eukaryota; Metazoa; Chordata; Mammalia; Primates; Cercopithecidae. The record is from RNAcentral.
GCUGGGCAUGGUGGCGUGCACCUAUAGUCCCACCUACUCAGAAGGCUGAAGCGGGAGGAUCGCUUGAGCCCAGGAGUUCCAGGCCAUAGAGUGCUAUGCUGAUAGGGUGUCCACACUAAGUCUGGCAUCAAACGUUCACCUCCUGGGAGCAGGGGACCACCAGGUUGCCUAAGGAGGGGUCAACUGACCCAGGUCAGAAACAGAACAGGUCAAAACUCCCAUGCUGAUCAGUAGUGGGAUUGCUCCUGUGAAUAGCCACUGCACUCCCGCCUGGACAACAUGGCGAGACCCUACCUCU